AUAGGAGGAUCUGUAUAUAGGAGGUUGUGAAUAUAGGAGGUUGUGUAUAUAGGAGGAUCUGUAUAUAGGAGGUUGUGAAUAUAGGAGGUUGUGUAUAUAGGAGGAUCUGUAUAUAGGAGGAUCUGUAUAUAGGAGGUUGUGUAUAUAGGAGGAUCUGUAUAUAGGAGGUUGUGUAUAUAGGAGGAUCUGUAUAUAGGAGGUUGUGUAUAUAGGAGGAUCUGUAUAUAGGAGGUUGUGUAUAUAGGAGGUUGUGUAUAUAGGAGGUUGUGUAUAUAGGAGGUUGUGUAUAUAGGAGGUUGUGUAUAUAGAAGGUUGUUUAUAUAGGAGGUUGUGUAUAUAGGAGGUUGUGUAUAUAGG
Astyanax mexicanus (Mexican tetra) is the source of this 357-nucleotide long non-coding RNA. RefSeq lists it as uncharacterized. The record is from RefSeq and is a predicted model, not a curated record. Lineage: Eukaryota; Metazoa; Chordata; Actinopteri; Characiformes; Acestrorhamphidae. The transcript is spliced from 5 exons.